This 62-nucleotide transfer RNA is filed under the name Ophioplinthus brevirima. RNAcentral's name for it is "tRNA-Cys". Lineage: Eukaryota; Metazoa; Echinodermata; Ophiuroidea; Amphilepidida; Ophiuridae. The record is from RNAcentral.
AGCUUUAUAGUGUAAAUAGCACUACAGAUUGCAAAUCUGACAGAGGAAAUCUCCUAGAGCUU